AGAAAAGUCACUUUCCCAUGUUUUUUUUAGGCUCCGUAUUUGCCUUGGGUGCUUCUCGGUUUCACUGUAAUUCUUGGUAAUACAAUAUGGGUAGAUCUAGUUGGUAUGGCAGUAGGACACAUGUAUUAUUUUGUAGAAGAUGUAUUUCCACGUUUAAGAGGAGGUUUCCGAGUUCUUAAAACUCCGCAAAUACUUAAGACUUUGUUCGACGCACAUCCAGAGGAUCCAGACUAUACCCCGCCGCCCGAAGACCGUCCCGAAAGAUUUAAUUGGGGACAAGAAGCCAACGUGCAGUGAUUCAAAAUUCGAAGUCCUGCUUCCAAAUCAUCUCUUACUGAUUGGCAUAUCAAGUAAUCUUUUCUAUUAUUAGCCCUUUGCGGACAGAGUCGCUCGACGAGCGAGCAUCGCUGUGGUCGAGAGGUAUUGAUGCGCUACUUUAUUUGUAACAUUCUUCCAUUUAUUGUCGGGGCUUUCAUUAUUGUUGUCAAUAUUUAGUUCAUGCUCACUAUCACUAUCACUGAAAAUAUUGAAACGUUUGAUCUGAUUCUUUGUUCCAACAAUUUCGCUUCCACUGUCUGAAGCACUGCCAUCAUCUUCGAACUUGUCAGAUUCAAGAUAAUAUUCGUCUAUUAUCACUAUCGAACAUGUCCUCUUUGAAUCUUUUAGGCAUUGUGUAAAGGAUGUUAUAAAGUAUAAAAUAUAUAAAAGACUUACUGAUUCGUCUGGUAGUAUCACUGAGAGUUUUCAUUAAAUGAAAUAUAAGACUUCACCUCUAAAGAUCUCUAAUUUCCAUUGAAAAAGAAAACAUAAUACUGUUUAGUCUACUAUACCCAUGCGUAUCUUAUCGCUCAGAAAGAUAAAUGUACGCGAGCCGCUUAUACAUGUCCGUAACUGUGAACAGACUUGAGUGGCUAUUUGUCGACACACGUCCGCAACGGGAAAAAGACUUAGCUGGCUACUUGACGGCACUCGUCCGCAAAGGGUUAGAUAUACAACAUUGUUCCUUGAUUUCCCCAAUAACUAACAGAAGUACGAAGUAAUUACCAUUUGUCUACAAUACUAUGCGAAGUAUAGAGGAUACCUAUAACGACGAUAAGACUUCCAAUUUUUUACAGGGGUUACAAUUUUUCACAGGAAACUUCGGUAUUAAAUGUAAUACACGUUAAUAAUUAUAAAUGGAAACAGUAUUUCUCAGAUAA
Molecule: non-coding RNA, 1199 nt
Organism: Megalopta genalis
Lineage: Eukaryota; Metazoa; Arthropoda; Insecta; Hymenoptera; Halictidae
Source: RefSeq, a predicted model, not a curated record